Non-coding RNA from Thamnophis sirtalis, 544 nucleotides. Lineage: Eukaryota; Metazoa; Chordata; Lepidosauria; Squamata; Natricidae. The record is from RefSeq and is a predicted model, not a curated record.
CCCAGAUAGCUGAUACCAGAUCAAAGUCCAGCGGGGGCAGGAAUGUAAAAACAAUGCCUACUACUCCCUUGCAAGGAGAGUGAAGGAAACCGCCUGAGUCUCUGCUCCCCACCUCAUCUGUCUGGAGCCGCCAAAAGCUUUUGACUCUGGUUGCUGUGCUGCUUUCCCGCAUCCCUGAAAUGUGACUCUGCAUUCUCCCUUUCCUUCGCCCUCCUCUAGGUUUUACCAGCCAUCUUAAAGAGAAAUGAAUUGUCAGACCUGCGCAGCCCUGAGCAAUGUGGCUCUCUCCAGGACAAUCCGAAAAGCAACAAAAAUGCUGAAAGCAAAAAUAGCAAGCAAGAAUACAUUAUUGGAAGAUCAGAAGAAUUUGUCAGAUGUCAAGAACAAAAACUCAUGAAGAAAAAAGUGCACAGAAGACAAAAGUAACUGCAACAAAAGUGCUACUCACUAUCUAUGAAACCCUAUGGCCUUUGAAUAUAGGACCUUUCAUCUCCCUCAGGGUCACCCUGAAUCAUCCACAGCAAUGUAGAUGUCGGACAGAUUG